UCAAGAAAGAAGGUGAGAAAUCCUUCGUGUUUGAGGAGAGAAAGGAUUUAUAGGACCUGUGGCAUUUCCAUGAAUAGUGACUUAUAGGUAGCCAGUUUUGAACUGGAGCCCCGGAACUCCCAUGCCUUUCUUGAUCGGACCAACUUGAUUUCCGCUCUUUGGCUCGCUCAGUACUUACGCUCUCGUUGGCAAGAACAAGUCUCUAUAAAUUCUGAGAGCAAGAAGCGGAACAAAAAGAAAGCU
Molecule: long non-coding RNA, 243 nt
Filed under: Amborella trichopoda
Lineage: Eukaryota; Viridiplantae; Streptophyta; Magnoliopsida; Amborellales; Amborellaceae
Description: long non-coding RNA (ATRI_LNC001083)
Source: RNAcentral